GUGCUCACUUCAACAACAUAUACGCUAAAAUUGGCAUGAUGCAGAGAAGAUUAGCUUGGCCCUUGUGCAAGGGUGACAUGCAAAUUCGUGAAGCAUUCCAAUUGUUU
Ailuropoda melanoleuca (giant panda) is the source of this 107-nucleotide small nuclear RNA. NCBI's taxonomy places the organism in Eukaryota, Metazoa, Chordata, Mammalia, Carnivora, Ursidae. The record is from Ensembl.